UUUCCGUAGGUGAACCUGCGGAAGGAUCAUUACCUAGAGUUGUAGGCUUUGCCUGCUAUCUCUUACCCAUGUCUUUUGAGUACCUUCGUUUCCUCGGUGGGUUCGCCCGCCAGCGAGGACCCCCACAAACCCUUUGUAAUAGCAAUAUUCGUCUGAAAAACAACCAAUAAUCAAAACUUUCAACAAUGGAUCUCUUGGUUCUGGCAUCGAUGAAGAACGCAGC
This 223-nucleotide unclassified non-coding RNA is filed under the name uncultured fungus. RNAcentral describes it as "sequence contains ITS1, 5.8S rRNA gene". The stretch from base 175 to 223 matches the Rfam family "5.8S ribosomal RNA", at positions 1 to 49 of the family's 154-position model. The record is from RNAcentral. Lineage: Eukaryota; Fungi.